RNAcentral lists this small nuclear RNA (299 nucleotides) under Mus pahari (shrew mouse). Its description in RNAcentral is "sRNA (MGP_PahariEiJ_G0008264.1)". It matches the Rfam family "7SK RNA". From Rfam's summary of the family: 7SK was discovered as an abundant small nuclear RNA in the mid-70s but a possible function has only recently been suggested. Two independent studies have found that 7SK RNA binds the CDK9/cyclin T complex (known as elongation factor P-TEFb). P-TEFb activates transcription by phosphorylating the C-terminal domain of RNA polymerase II. The record is from RNAcentral. Lineage: Eukaryota; Metazoa; Chordata; Mammalia; Rodentia; Muridae.
AGAUGUGAUGGCAAAUAGGUUGUGGCUCAUACCAUCCUAUUGGCCACCAUGGUUGAUUCCAUUGAGACGCCUGACUAGGGUAUCCACUUCCUUCCUAGCUGCUCCUCGCAAUCCCUUCCCAAGUUGUUCACUUGGUGGAAGAGAAUGGCCUUCACAAAGAAGGGAACUCUGUUCUUCAGUCAUGUGAUUAGAGCAUCCAUGAUGCCCUACAAGAACCUCCAAACAAUGUGUUAAUUAUAUAUGGACCAUGAGGGCCAGUGAGGUCAAGGCAACAGCCACCAAGCCUUAGAACCUGAGUU